RNAcentral lists this ribosomal RNA (255 nucleotides) under uncultured bacterium. Its description in RNAcentral is "partial 16S ribosomal RNA". It matches the Rfam family "Bacterial small subunit ribosomal RNA", at positions 524 to 776 of the family's 1533-position model. The record is from RNAcentral.
UACAGAGGUCUCAAGCGUUGUUCGGAUUCAUUGGGCGUAAAGGGUGCGUAGGCGGCGCGGUAAGUCGGGUGUGAAAUCUCGGAGCUUAACUCCGAAACUGCAUUCGAUACUGCCGUGCUUGAGGACUGGAGAGGAGACUGGAAUUUACGGUGUAGCAGUGAAAUGCGUAGAGAUGCGGAGGAACACCGAUGGCGAAGGCAACCCCCCUGGGCUGACACUGACGCCUCAGGCACGAAAGCGUGGGGAGCAAACAGG